UAUANAGUGCCUGAAUAAAGGAUUAUCGUGAUAGGAUAACUUAUGUAAUAAUUCACUUUUACCUUUACUA
RNAcentral lists this transfer RNA (70 nucleotides) under Panesthia sloanei. RNAcentral describes it as "tRNA-Ile". Lineage: Eukaryota; Metazoa; Arthropoda; Insecta; Blattodea; Blaberidae. The record is from RNAcentral.